AUUGAACGCUGGCGGAAUGCUUUACACAUGCAAGUCGAACGGCAGCACGGGGCAACCUGGUGGCGAGUGGCGAACGGGUGAGUAAUACAUCGGAACGUGCCCAAUCGUGGGGGAUAACGUAGCGAAAGUUACGCUAAUACCGCAUACGAUCUACGGAUGAAAGCGGGGGAUCGCAAGACCUCGCGCGAGUGGAGCGGCCGAUGUCAGAUUAGGUAGUUGGUGGGGUAAAGGCUCACCAAGCCAACGAUCUGUAGCUGGUCUGAGAGGACGACCAGCCACACUGGAACUGAGACACGGUCCAGACUCCUACGGGAGGCAGCAGUGGGGAAUUUUGGACAAUGGGCGCAAGCCUGAUCCAGCCAUUCCGCGUGCAGGAUGAAGGCCUUCGGUUGUAAACUGCUUUUGUACGGAACGAAACGGCGAGCUCUAAUACAGUUUGCUAAUGACGGUACCGUAAGAAUAAGCACCGGCUAACUACGUGCCAGCAGCCGCGGUAAU
Molecule: ribosomal RNA, 498 nt
Filed under: uncultured bacterium
Lineage: Bacteria
Description: bacterial SSU rRNA
Rfam family: Bacterial small subunit ribosomal RNA
Source: RNAcentral